RNAcentral lists this ribosomal RNA (736 nucleotides) under uncultured Pseudomonadota bacterium. RNAcentral describes it as "bacterial SSU rRNA". It matches the Rfam family "Bacterial small subunit ribosomal RNA", at positions 56 to 812 of the family's 1533-position model. Lineage: Bacteria; Pseudomonadati; Pseudomonadota. The record is from RNAcentral.
UGCAGUCGAACGAGAAGUUCCUUCGGGAGCAAUUAAAGUGGCGCACGGGUGAGUAACGCGUAGACAAUCUGCCCUUCAGUCUGGGACAACUUUCCGAAAGGAGAGCUAAUACCGGAUAACAAUGCAUGACACAAGUUGUAUAUUUGAAAGCUUUAUGUGCUGAAGGAGGGGUCUGCGUCCCAUUAGCUAGUUGGUAGGGUAAAGGCUUACCAAGGCAACGAUGGGUAGCGGGUUUGAGAGGACGAUCCGCCACACUGGAACUGAGACACGGUCCAGACUCCUACGGGAGGCAGCAGUGGGGAAUAUUGCACAAUGGAGGAAACUCUGAUGCAGCAAUGUCGCGUGAGUGAAGAAGGCCCUUGGGUCGUAAAGCUCUUUUAUGGGGGAAGAUGAUGACGGUACCCCAAGAAUAAGCACCGGCUAACUAUGUGCCAGCAGCCGCGGUAAUACAUAGGGUGCGAGCGUUGUUCGGAAUUACUGGGCGUAAAGGGCGCGCAGGCGGAAUAGUAAGUCGGAGGUGAAAGCCCGGGGCUCAACCCCGGAGGGUCUUUCGAAACUACUAAUCUAGAGAGGGUCAGGGGCCGGCAGAAUUCCUGGUGUAGAGGUGAAAUUCGUAGAUAUCAGGAGGAAUACCGGUGGCGAAGGCGGCCGGCUGGGGCCACUCUGACGCUGAGGCGCGAAAGCGUGGGGAGCAAACAGGAUUAGAUACCCUGGUAGUCCACGCCGUAAACGAUGA